Molecule: ribosomal RNA, 428 nt
Filed under: uncultured bacterium
Lineage: Bacteria
Description: bacterial SSU rRNA
Rfam family: Bacterial small subunit ribosomal RNA
Source: RNAcentral
UCGAGAAUCAUUCGCAAUGGGCGAAAGCCUGACGAUGCGACGCUGUGUGUAUGAUGAAGGCCUUCGGGUUGUAAAGUACUUUCGCCUGGGAACAAGGGAGAUCUGCUAACAUCAGGUUAACUUGAGGGUACCAGGUAAAGAAGCACCGGCUAACUACGUGCCAGCAGCUGCGGUAAUACGUAGGGUGCAAGCAUUAAUCGGAUUUAUUGGGCGUAAAGGGCGCGUAGGCUGGAGCGUAAGUCAGAUGUGAAAUCCCGGGGCUCAACCCCGGAAUAGCAUUUGAAACUGCGUUUCUAGAGGGUAGGCGGAGAAAACAGAAUUCCACAAGUAGCGGUGAAAUGCGUAGAUAUGUGGAAGAAUACCUGUGGCGAAGGCGGUUUUCUAGCUUACACCUGACGCUGAGGCGCGAAAGCAAGGGGAUCAAACAG